UGGGGAAUAUUGGACAAUGGGCGAAAGCCUGAUCCAGCCAUGCCGCGUGUGUGAAGAAGGCCUUCGGAUUGUAAAGCACUUUAAGUUGGGAGGAAGGGCAGUAAGCGAAUACCUUGCUGUUUUGACGUUACCGACAGAAUAAGCACCGGCUAACUCCGUGCCAGCAGCCGCGGUAAUACAGAGGGUGCAAGCGUUAAUCGGAAUUACUGGGCGUAAAGCGCGCGUAGGUGGUUCUGUAAGUUGAAUGUGAAAGCCCCGAGCUCAACCUGGGAACUGCAUCAGAGACUGGCGGGCUAGAGUAGGGCAGAGGGUGGUGGAAUUUCCUGUGUAGCGGUGAAAUGCGUAGAUAUAGGAAGGAACACCAGUGGCGAAGGCGACCACCUGGGCUCAUACUGACACUGAGGUGCGAAAGCGUGGGGAGCAAACAGG
This 429-nucleotide ribosomal RNA is filed under the name Pseudomonadota bacterium. Its description in RNAcentral is "Proteobacteria bacterium partial 16S ribosomal RNA". It matches the Rfam family "Bacterial small subunit ribosomal RNA", at positions 355 to 776 of the family's 1533-position model. Lineage: Bacteria; Pseudomonadati; Pseudomonadota. The record is from RNAcentral.